This 460-nucleotide ribosomal RNA is filed under the name uncultured bacterium. RNAcentral's name for it is "partial 16S ribosomal RNA". It matches the Rfam family "Bacterial small subunit ribosomal RNA", at positions 338 to 795 of the family's 1533-position model. The record is from RNAcentral.
CCUACGGGUGGCAGCAGUGAGGAAUAUUGGUCAAUGGGCGCGAGCCUGAACCAGCCAAGUAGCGUGAAGGAUGACUGCCCUACGGGUUGUAAACUUCUUGUAUAAAGGAAUAAAGUGAGGCACGAGUGCCUUUUUGUAGGUACUUUAUGAAUAAGGAUAGGCUAACUCCGUGCAAGCAGCAGCGGUAAUACGGAGGAUCCGAGCGUUAUCCGGAUUGAUUGGGUUUAAAGGGAGCGUAGAUGGGUUGUUAAGUCAGUUGUGAAAGUUUGCGGCUCAACAGUAAAAUUGCAAUUGAUACUGGCAGUCUUGAGUACAGUUGAGGUAGGCGGAAUUCGUGGUGUAGCGGUGAAAUGCUUAGAUAUCACGAAGAACUCCGAUUGCGAAGGCAGCUUACUAAACUGCCACUGACAUUGAUGCUCGAAAGUGUGGGUAUCAAACAGGAUUAGAUACCCCUGUAGUC